Molecule: non-coding RNA, 31 nt
Filed under: Mus musculus (house mouse)
Lineage: Eukaryota; Metazoa; Chordata; Mammalia; Rodentia; Muridae
Source: RNAcentral
UGGGCCUCAAUCUUAAAAGCUGGAUGUUUAC